This 619-nucleotide ribosomal RNA is filed under the name uncultured bacterium. RNAcentral's name for it is "bacterial SSU rRNA". The stretch from base 1 to 522 matches the Rfam family "Bacterial small subunit ribosomal RNA", at positions 338 to 873 of the family's 1533-position model. The record is from RNAcentral.
CCUACGGGAGGCAGCAGUGGGGAAUAUUGCACAAUGGGCGAAAGCCUGAUGCAGCGACGCCGCGUGAGGGAUGACGGCCUUCGGGUUGUAAACCUCUUUCAGCAGGGAAGAAGCGAAAGUGACGGUACCUGCAGAAGAAGCGCCGGCUAACUACGUGCCAGCAGCCGCGGUAAUACGUAGGGCGCAAGCGUUGUCCGGAAUUAUUGGGCGUAAAGAGCUCGUAGGCGGCUUGUUGCGUCGGUUGUGAAAGCCCGGGGCUUAACCCCGGGUCUGCAGUCGAUACGGGCAGGCUAGAGUGUGGUAGGGGAGAUCGGAAUUCCUGGUGUAGCGGUGAAAUGCGCAGAUAUCAGGAGGAACACCGGUGGCGAAGGCGGAUCUCUGGGGCCAUUACUGACGCUGAGGAGCGAAAGCGUGGGGAGCGAACAGGAUUAGAUACCCUGGUAGUCCACGCCGUAAACGUUGGGAACUAGGUGUUGGCGACAUUCCACGUCGUCGGUGCCGCNGCACGCAUAGUUACCCGUCCGUCGGGNGGUACGGCCGCGACGGACGUAAACGUUAAACGGUAAAGUUAGUAACGGUCGUGUUAGACGUGCCGACGGACGACGACGAGGGAGGAGGG